Molecule: unclassified non-coding RNA, 207 nt
Filed under: Hevea brasiliensis (rubber tree)
Lineage: Eukaryota; Viridiplantae; Streptophyta; Magnoliopsida; Malpighiales; Euphorbiaceae
Source: RNAcentral
GAAGAAGAAGAAGAAGGACAAAGAGACCGGCUGUCGCUUCUCCUUGGAGAUAGUUUGCGACGCAAUCUUGUUAGAGCUGAUUUGGGUGAAGAUGAAGGUGAAAGCUUGGAGGAGUUCAUGAUGAAAAUAAGAGAUGAAGUGAAUUCAAAAUUGAAGGAGAUUAAGGCCGUGUAUAUGUAUAGCUGAAACCAAGUGAAAUUGGAUAAG